GGACCAUGGUGGGUCACAGUGUAUUCUUUAAUCAAUCAAGCAAAAGGAUAACAGUACAGCACAACCUAACACAAUUUAACGAAUUAUAUUUAAUAUCUUCCAAAAGUGUGGCCAAAGCUUAAGGUGCACUGGAUCACUGUCACAUAAUUUGUAUUAGUCAACUGACACAUAUAAUACCAUCAGUUUUUCUAUUUGAUUUUCAAAGAAAAUGUUCCCGGAAAUAAAUGUGCUAUGAUAUGAUUGUCAAUUCAUUCAGCUCCUCAUCCGCCUUCAUGAAUUCCCCUUGUGUUGAGUUCUUAUAUCUAACAAUAAUUGACAGACAUAUAGAGGGAUUUUAUAAACUAAGGCAUCAUCAGUACGUAAAAAUUUAAUCUUUCCUCCUCUCUAUUUUAAGGACAAUGUUGCUUACUGUCAUUAGUUUGUUCCAUCUUGCCUUUGAUUUUUGCAUUCCAUCAUUUGAAGAAAUUAUAAAAAAGGAUAAAAAAGGAAUGAAAAGAAACAAAGAGCACAGGGGAAGGAAUAGAAUUUAAAGCUCUCAAGAGCAUGUUAAAAUAAGUAACCUUUUAAAAGAAAGCUGAUACAUAUGUGUUCACAGGGAUAUAACCACAUGCAAUUACACAAUUUACCUACUUGGUUUCUAGUUAAUAGUAUAACUUCAGAUCAUAAAGCAUUUGAAGAUGCAAACAGCAGGGACAGGGAGGUGUGAUCUCCAAGAUGCUAUAAAUUGAGGAAAUACCUUACAUAAAAUUAGUUGCAAGGGCACAUACCAUAAAUGCAUCAUAAACAUUUACUUUUGAAACAGAGCAAAUGAUCCUCAAGUCAACAAAACCUCCCAGACUGUUUGGGUUUGGCUAAGAAAGAAGUUUUCCUACAUUCAGCCCCAUUGACCAGAAAACACUCUUUUAACUAAUUUGAUAUUUAAAUAAUUUUUACCACUUCCAUCUACAUUGCUUUUGGUCUAUCUCCACUUCUAUUGUCCUAUUGCUUGAACCCACUCACUUACAUAGGGCACAUAUUGUUUUGAGACAAAAAUUUACAGCUCAGAUAUAUGCA
Molecule: unclassified non-coding RNA, 1053 nt
Filed under: Hevea brasiliensis (rubber tree)
Lineage: Eukaryota; Viridiplantae; Streptophyta; Magnoliopsida; Malpighiales; Euphorbiaceae
Source: RNAcentral